UGUGUACUCCCUCCAUUGCAAAAUACUUGACUUCCAUUUGUCCAAAAAUGGAUGUACCUAUAUACUAAAACAUGUCUAGAUACAUAUAUAUUUUGACAAAUAGAAGGCAUGUAUUGUGCAACGGAGGGAGUUGAAU
Non-coding RNA from Triticum aestivum (bread wheat), 136 nucleotides. NCBI's taxonomy places the organism in Eukaryota, Viridiplantae, Streptophyta, Magnoliopsida, Poales, Poaceae. The record is from Rfam.